RNAcentral lists this ribosomal RNA (424 nucleotides) under uncultured Acinetobacter sp. RNAcentral describes it as "bacterial SSU rRNA". It matches the Rfam family "Bacterial small subunit ribosomal RNA", at positions 432 to 849 of the family's 1533-position model. Lineage: Bacteria; Pseudomonadati; Pseudomonadota; Gammaproteobacteria; Moraxellales; Moraxellaceae. The record is from RNAcentral.
ACUUUAAGCGAGGAGGAGGCUCUUGGUUAAUACCCAAGAUGCUUGGACGUUACUCGCAGAAUAAGCACCGGCUAACUCUGUGCCAGCAGCCGCGGUAAUACAGAGGGUGCGAGCGUUAAUCGGAUUUACUGGGCGUAAAGCGUGCGUAGGCGGCUUUUUAAGUCGGAUGUGAAAUCCCCGAGCUUAACUUGGGAAUUGCAUUCGAUACUGGGAAGCUAGAGUAUGGGAGAGGAUGGUAGAAUUCCAGGUGUAGCGGUGAAAUGCGUAGAGAUCUGGAGGAAUACCGAUGGCGAAGGCAGCCAUCUGGCCUAAUACUGACGCUGAGGUACGAAAGCAUGGGGAGCAAACAGGAUUAGAUACCCUGGUAGUCCAUGCCGUAAACGAUGUCUACUAGCCGUUGGGGCCUUUGAGGCUUUAGUGGCGC